UGAGAUUACGAUGAGGAUUCUUAGCUCCCUCUUCUGAUUAAAAGUUGAGGAAAUCGGCUGGCCGAAUCGAACCAAUUUAUUAUUGCCAUCACUGAGUAA
Molecule: small nucleolar RNA, 99 nt
Filed under: Salix viminalis (osier)
Lineage: Eukaryota; Viridiplantae; Streptophyta; Magnoliopsida; Malpighiales; Salicaceae
Rfam family: Small nucleolar RNA R30/Z108
About the family: snoR30 is a C/D box small nucleolar RNA which acts as a methylation guide for 18S ribosomal RNA in plants.
Source: RNAcentral